GACGAACGCUGGCGGCGUGCUUAACACAUGCAAGUCGAACGGAAAGGCCCUGCUUGUGUGGGGUGCUCGAGUGGCGAACGGGUGAGUAACACGUGAGUAACCUGCCCUUGACUUUGGGAUAACUUCAGGAAACUGGGGCUAAUACCGUAUAGGAGCUCCUGCUGCAUGGUGGGGGUUGGAAAGUUUCGGCGGUUGGGGAUGGACUCGCGGCUUAUCAGCUUGUUGGUGGGGUAGUGGCUUACCAAGGCUGUGACGGGUAGCCGGCAUGGGAGGGUGACCGGCCACAUGGGUACUGAGAUACGCCCCAGAGUCCUACGGGGGGCAGCAGUGGGGAAUAUUGCACAAUGGGCGGAAGCCUGAUGCAGCAACGCCGCGUGCGGGAUGACGGCCUUCGGGUUGUAAACCGCUUUCGCCUGUGACGACGCGUGAGUGACGGUAAUGGGUAAAGAAGCACCGGCUAACUACGUG
This 468-nucleotide ribosomal RNA is filed under the name uncultured bacterium. RNAcentral's name for it is "partial 16S ribosomal RNA". It matches the Rfam family "Bacterial small subunit ribosomal RNA", at positions 28 to 507 of the family's 1533-position model. The record is from RNAcentral.